ACCAGCCCCAAGAGCUGCAAAAGCCAUCACAGGCACCUACACGAAUGAAAACAAAGGUAGGGCAGGAGAUAUUUCUGUCCUACUAAGGUUAAGGGCAAGGUUGACAGGUACUGCCCAGGUUGACAGGUUAAGCCCAGGUUGACAGGUACUGGGGAGGAGAAGGCUCUGAGGUUUCAGAUGAGCCUCGGUACCCAGGUUAACCAUCUCCUACCCAGAAAAGGCUGGUUGUGUGAAUGAGCCCAUUGUGUUCAGAGACACAUAACAGAGGCAUAUAACCACCUCCCAACUUUUUAAAUGAAAGAAAUAUGAAAAGGUGAAAAAAUGUGCAUCACAUGGGUGCAGGGAGAUCUUGACUGGAAAAACAGCUAUAGAGGAAGGGGUUAAGCAGGUCCUCUUGUCUUUUAUUUGCUCUAACUUGCAACCCCCUGGGUCUAGUAAUGGGAUUCUUAUACACCUCUUCCAUGUAACAUCUCAUUUGGCCCAAACUAAAUAGUGGUCUAUAGCGUUCUCAACACAGGAGACUAUAAUAAUCCCCCUCGAGCGGUAUUCUAUAGAUUAAAUCAGUCCAAGAAUUUAAUCUCCUUUGCAUUAAUUGUUAUUCCUAUUUCUGUCCUGCUCAAUCUUCCUUUGAAUGGAAAGCUGCAGAAGCCAGACCCUGCCUUGUAGCAAACCCAAAAGCUAGAAUCAGAAUGGGAAGUCUCAUUUUUCAAUCUUCAUAUCCACAAUUAAAUCCAAAUUAAAAUGUUCCUGGAAGCUCUCCACACUGGUGAUAGAAAUCUGCCAAACUUAGUUAACAUACAGCAGCUGCACAUAUGAUAUUAUUAUAUAAACUUGAGUUUUAAAAAAACUAUUUUUGUAGUCGUACUAAUGGAAGCAGAGGGUUUCUAGAAUGUAAAAAGAAAUCUGAAAACUGAGGACAAUGUGUCGCUAUUUAGAAAUACAGAGUACCUUUAGAAUUGCAAUGUUAUUUGCACACAGUCUGACACACAUUUGUAGUAUGAUUGGUGACCUUCAUAUAACUAAAUUAGUUCAUUCCUAUGUCUUUUCCACACAUCCUUUCUUUCACACAUUCUUUCAGUGCACAUGGAAGAGGGAAGCACGAUUGCAAGUGCCUUCCCUGCACCAAAUUUCCAUGCAUUCAUUUGAUCUGACAAGGGGUCCGGCAUAACAAUAUGUAUUUAUUUAUUUUGUUUAUAGUGGGCAGCAUGCAGACUACUUUUUCCAUUCAUACAGGACAUUCCAUUCAUGGAACAGGGGUGUGUGAUUUCAUUUAUUUCCUCUUCCCUCAACUGGAAGUAUGUCCCAGCGGAUUAGGAGAUCAGCAAGAAUUGGCCAUCUACUUUUGUGCAAGUAUCUUCCAGCUGGAAAAAAACCCUAAAGUGGGUUACAGCUACCAAUCAAUCAAUCAUAAAACACUAGAAGCAAUUUAAAAUAAAACAAAAGGGCGGGGGGGGGGCAUCAGAAACAACUGAUAACAUAAAGCCACAGCAUAAGCUCAUAAUUACCAUUUGCUGUUAAAAGCCACAUUACCCUGGAAUUAAAAGGCAGGAAUUAAAAAUUAUUUUUGACUUCCUCUCGAAAGUGGGAGAAGAGGAAAUCAAACUGAUCACCCUGGGGAAGAAGCUCUAAAUUUUUGGUGCUGUCACCGAAGAGGCCCUGCUCCUGGUAGCUGCCAAUCAUCCCUCAGCCAGAGGUGGAUGGGAGAUCAGGGCUUCCGUAGCUGAUCCUAAGAGCCAGGCAAAUGUAUAUGAUAACAGGUAGUCUUUAACAUAGAUGUGGGGGUGGGUGUCCAUCUCUGGGUCUGUUUUUGGUCUUGCUUGGUGAGUGCUAGCAGUGGUUCUGAUGAUGGUCUGUGGAGCAGCAGUUUUUCUCUUUCCCAUUUGCUCUCUACAGUGUGGCUGAAGCAGUGCCAGCAGCACAACGCCAGGUACACACAUGUCCACAGGAAUUUUUCUGGGUGGGGGUGCAUAUAAGUACAUAAAUUUAAAAAAUCUGCUAUUAAUCCAACCUUGAAUCAACUGUCCCCUUUGCCCCCCACCACCAUGGAUGCCCACACUCGGGAAGAUGGCAGGGUCUUGGCCUAUAUCCCUUUGCUGACCCCAUGAAAGCUGCCACACUGGUCUCAUGCAGAAGAUAGAGAAGAAAGGCUCCUGCCAUGUCAGGUUUUUGCUACUUCCCUGCAUCCACCCUCCUUACCAAAGCCAAUUAGUUAGUAAGCUGUAUAAAAGCAAGUUCCCAGGUUUAAGCUUUCUGACAAACCCUAAAAUCAUACUCUGACUCAGGACUGUACAACUUUGGCCUUCAGCUGUUGUCAUCCCCAGCCACAAUGGCAAAUAAUCAGGGAUGAUGGGACUUGUAGUCCAGCAACAGCUGAAGAGCCGAAGUUGUGUAGCCCUGCUCUAACUGGAUAAUUAAUAAAGCAAACCCAGAUAAGUUUAUGCAGAUGAAAGAGCAGGGUUGAUUCUCAAGGGCUCUCAUCAAGUUCAAUGAGACAAACUAAAUGGCCUGCAAUUGGCAAGACUGAGUGAAAUACACACACACACACACACACACACGUAUACAUAUACAUAUUCAACAAAAAUACAUUUUCAUCAACCUUUAAAAAAAGGAAACAACGAGGCUAUUCACACACAUGGAGGAAACCGGGCUAAGGGAGACGGUUUCCCCCAUGUGUGUGAACCACUAGCCUGCUGAGUGUUGUGAGUAAGCUUUACACAAGUCAUUUAGAUUGGAAGUUGCAAGACUGGAUGGAGAAUGAAGGUAUUCUGGGUGAUGAACAGGCUGAUUUUAGAACAGAGCAGUCAGCCAUAGACCAUGCCCUGGUAUUACGCCAUCUGACUGAAAAAUAUAGCAACAAACCUAAGUCCUCUUUGUAUGUGGCCUUUGUUGACUUCAAAGCAGCCUUUGAUUCAAUCUCCAGGAUAAGCCUCUGGGGGAAACUCAGAGACACUAAUAUUGAUAGGCGCUUAUUCUUUCUUAUUCAGAAGCUCUGUGAUAACACCAGUGUAAGAGUAAGAUGUAAUCCUCAAUUAUCACUUCCACAUUAAAUAAAGUAAAGGAGUUAAACAAGCAUGCAUUUGGGCAUCCACCCUGUUCAAUCUCUACAUAAAUACCCUAGCUAAUAAUCUCGCCGAUCCAGCACUACAUUCCUCAACUAUUGCGGGCACAGCUAUCCCAAUCCUGCUGUAUGCAGAUGCUGCUGCUAUCAUCUCACAAACUCCUGUAGGCCUUAGGAGAGCGCUUAGGCUCUUGGCCACAUACUGCAAGGACAACCACUUGGUAAUUAACUUCCAGAAAUCCAAAGUGAUGUCUUUGCUGAGAGGCCUAAAAGAUUUAACCGGAGUAUAGAAGGCCAUUGUAUAGAGCAGGACAAUAGUUUUAAAUAUCUGGGUGAGGUUUUUCAUGCCACUGGGUCAUGGAAGGCCCAUGUGGACUACAUUGUCCAACAGCACAAAGAAGUGCUUCAACAACGUUAAGAUUCUUUCACUCCAAAGGUGGAGAGGUUAUCCCUGCAGCAUUAAAGUUAUUUGCUGCUAAAUUAUUGGCCCAACUUCUGUAUGGCGCACAACUGGGCCCCUACCUAUAGGCCGCUGGAGAUAAUCCAAUCCAAGUUUAUUAGAGCAGUAUUCAGGGCCCCUUGAUAUAUCUCCAACAUAGUGUUGAGGUUGGAAAUGGGCCUCCAGAGGGUGGAAACAAAAGCAUGGAUUUUAAUCCUCAGUUAUUGGCUUAGGAUACACUUCUACCCUCUGGGAUUUUAAUUUUAGCUCCAUCCUGGAGACCAUAUGAGGGCGCCUUGGUGACUUUAAAUGGGAACAUGCUAACCAUCUAUUGUCCCUCUCUUUACUGAGCCAUCACAGGGUUUUCCUCAGAGCAAGAUAUGAUGCCUUACCAUCAGCGGUUUUAUCAGGAAGGUUUUUGAAAACCCGUCUGGCUAGUCGGUUAUGCCCCUGUGGCUCAGCAGAGAUCAUGCUUAGAGCCCGGCACAGGUCACAGUCAUGCUCAGCUGUCCAGCACAGAGCAGGCCAGUGGCACGGCGACCACACCACCCAGGACAGACUAAAGAAGAUUUGGGGGUGUGGAGACCUGGACUUUGGCCUGGAAGUCCAGAGGUAAGAGCGCCUCUGUAGCCAAGUAUGGAAUGCUUAGAAGAAGGCAGGAAGCAGGUGGGGGCAAAUUACCUAAGUAAUUAGGAGUGAAGCAGUCAAAUUGGUGUUGGAGCACCAAGUUGUGGAGAGGAGCUGGGGCAGGGGGAAGGAUGGUGGAAGGACUGAGGAGAAGACAUCAGGAGAAAGAAACGGAGGAAGAGUGCAGCAGACGUUAAGGACAAGAAGCCGCAGAGACUGGAAGAACAGAGACUUAUCUGAGGAGGCAGCUCCUAUGAAUGAUUCUAAACACCAGAAGCCAAUACUGGAUGUGUCAGUCCUGACUGAAGCUUUGGGGAAGCUGGUUGGGACUGUGGGACAGGCCCCUUGUGAUUGCGUGGCUGUUAUUGUUUGUUUUCUUACAUAGUCUUUCUGUGACUGCUUUUUCACUUUCAUUUACUUCUUACUUCCCCCCAUACAUUCUGUUAAACGUA
Molecule: long non-coding RNA, 4576 nt
Organism: Hemicordylus capensis (graceful crag lizard)
Lineage: Eukaryota; Metazoa; Chordata; Lepidosauria; Squamata; Cordylidae
Exons: 2
Source: RefSeq, a predicted model, not a curated record